UCCUAGCCCCGAUAGAAACGGUUACCCCACAGCAAGAGUUAGCCAUUUAGGCAGGCGCGAGGAGUAAAAGUGGAUAGCGGGAAUAAGC
This 88-nucleotide small RNA is filed under the name Chryseobacterium sp. RU33C. RNAcentral's name for it is "Flavo-1 RNA". It matches the Rfam family "Flavo-1 RNA". RNAcentral also lists the same sequence under 1 other name. The record is from RNAcentral. Lineage: Bacteria; Pseudomonadati; Bacteroidota; Flavobacteriia; Flavobacteriales; Weeksellaceae.